This 256-nucleotide unclassified non-coding RNA is filed under the name uncultured Dothideomycetes. RNAcentral's name for it is "sequence contains 5.8S rRNA gene, ITS2, 28S rRNA gene". The stretch from base 1 to 52 matches the Rfam family "5.8S ribosomal RNA", at positions 103 to 154 of the family's 154-position model. The record is from RNAcentral. Lineage: Eukaryota; Fungi; Ascomycota; Dothideomycetes.
AACGCACAUUGCGCCCUUUGGUAUUCCGAAGGGCAUGCCUGUUCGAGCGUCAUUAGUACAUUCAAGCUUUGCUUGGUGUUGGGCGACGUCGCGGUACCCCGCGACGCGCCUGGAAUGAAUUUGGCUGCGGGUAUCGGCUCCCAGCGCUGCGAGGCGUCUCAACGUCAUGCGUUAGGAGGGUCGGCGCCGGCGGGCCAGCAAAACCCCCAACAGACAGCUUGACCUCGGAUCAGGUAGGGAUACCCGCUGAACUUAA